RNAcentral lists this ribosomal RNA (427 nucleotides) under uncultured bacterium. Its description in RNAcentral is "bacterial SSU rRNA". It matches the Rfam family "Bacterial small subunit ribosomal RNA", at positions 355 to 774 of the family's 1533-position model. The record is from RNAcentral.
UAGGGAAUAUUGGACAAUGGGGGCAACCCUGAUCCAGCCAUGCCGCGUGAGUGAAGAAGGCCCUCGGGUUGUAAAGCUCUUUUGUCCGGAAAGAAAAGCAUUCGGUGAAUACCCGGAUGUUCUGACGGUACCGGAAGAAUAAGCACCGGCUAACUUCGUGCCAGCAGCCGCGGUAAUACGAAGGGUGCAAGCGUUACUCGGAAUUACUGGGCGUAAAGCGUGCGUAGGUGGUUGUUUAAGUCUGAUGUGAAAGCCCUGGGCUCAACCUGGGAAUGGCAUUGGAAACUGGGCAGCUAGAGUGCGGUAGAGGGUAGUGGAAUUCCCGGUGUAGCAGUGAAAUGCGUAGAGAUCGGGAGGAACAUCUGUGGCGAAGGCGACUGCCUGGACCAGCACUAACACUGAGGCACGAAAGCGUGGGGAGCAAACA